GAGCUCGGGUGAUGAUGUUAGGGAUGUGGACCCAGAAUCCGAGGUAGCUUGUUCUUCAGAUAGAUCUAAAGUUUCGGACUUUGGUCCGUUUAAAAUAGACUCCGUCCUCACUCCCAAGGAUUUGGAGAUUAUUAUGAUAAAAUAUCAAGUCCCAACUGAGUUUAGGCUGGAGGUCAUCAUUCUCGAAGAAUGGAUAGCUCUUUCUUGUC
RNAcentral lists this long non-coding RNA (209 nucleotides) under Elaeis guineensis (African oil palm). RNAcentral's name for it is "long non-coding RNA (EGUI_LNC002908)". Lineage: Eukaryota; Viridiplantae; Streptophyta; Magnoliopsida; Arecales; Arecaceae. The record is from RNAcentral.